Non-coding RNA from Myotis lucifugus (little brown bat), 82 nucleotides. The record is from Rfam. NCBI's taxonomy places the organism in Eukaryota, Metazoa, Chordata, Mammalia, Chiroptera, Vespertilionidae.
AGGCCUGGAGAGAGAAGCAGGGUCUGAUUUGUAGCCUCCUGUGGCAGCUGUUGAUCAGCCCUUGCCUCUCUCUUUCUCUCUG